CCUACGGGAGGCAGCAGUGGGGAAUUUUGGACAAUGGGGGCAACCCUGAUCCAGCAAUGCCGCGUGAGUGAAGAAGGCCUUCGGGUUGUAAAGCCCUUUUGUCAGGGAAGAAAAGGCUGUGGCUAAUAUCCACAGCUGCUGACGGUACCUGAAGAAUAAGCACCGGCUAACUACGUGCCAGCAGCCGCGGUAAUACGUAGGGUGCAAGCGUUAAUCGGAAUUACUGGGCGUAAAGCGUGCGCAGGCGGUUUCGUAAGUCUGUCGUGAAAUCCCCGGGCUUAACCUGGGAAUGGCGAUGGAGACUGCGAGGCUAGAGUUUGGCAGAGGGGGGUAGAAUUCCACGUGUAGCAGUGAAAUGCGUAGAGAUGUGGAGGAACACCGAUGGCGAAGGCAGCCCCCUGGGUCAAAACUGACGCUCAUGCACGAAAGCGUGGGGAGCAAACAGGAUUAGAUACCCUGGUAGUCCACGCCCUAAACGAUGUCUACUAGUUGUUGGGUCUUAAUUGACUUAGUAACGCAGCUAACGCGUGAAGUAGACCGCCUGGGGAGUACGGUCGCAAGAUUAAAACUCAAAGGAAUUGACGG
This 585-nucleotide ribosomal RNA is filed under the name uncultured bacterium. RNAcentral's name for it is "bacterial SSU rRNA". It matches the Rfam family "Bacterial small subunit ribosomal RNA", at positions 338 to 916 of the family's 1533-position model. The record is from RNAcentral.